UAGCAUUUUACUCAUCACUUGGUUUAACAUACUAAGAGAGUUAUAAGAAGUUGAAAAGAAAAAAUGGCUUCCAAGGCUUUGAUUCUGUUUGGUCUCUUUGCAAUUAUUCUCGUUGUCUCCGAAGUGUCUGCGGCAACGCAGCCAGAGAGUGAGGAAACUGUGCACCCUGAUGGUUAUGGUGGUGGCUACAACAGAGGAGGAGGAGGAGGA
Non-coding RNA from Camelina sativa (false flax), 210 nucleotides. Lineage: Eukaryota; Viridiplantae; Streptophyta; Magnoliopsida; Brassicales; Brassicaceae. The record is from RefSeq and is a predicted model, not a curated record.